AAAUAGAUAGAAAAAUAAUACAUAUAAUAAUUUAUAUAAUUAAUAAUAAUAUAAUAGAAUAUAUAAUCCAAUAAUAUAUAAAUUUUAAAAAUUUAAUGAAAGUUAGAAUAAGAUAAAUAUGUUAAAAAUAGGAAAAUUUAGUGCCAGCAUCAGCGGUUAGACUAAGUUUGUAAGUUAAUUUUAAUCUAUAUAUAAUAAAAAAGAUUAAUAAAAAAAGUUUUUUUUUUUAGUAAAUUUAAUGGUGAAAUAUAAUUUAUAAUAAUAAAAAUUUUUUAUUGUUUUUAUAUUAAGAAAUUUAUUUAAAAGACUAGGAUUAGAUACCCUAUUAUGGUAAAUUUACAAUAGUGAUAUAAGAGAUUAAAUGAUAAAUCAUUAAAUUUAAAAGAUUUGGCGGUAUUUAAAAUUUAGAGGAACUUGUGUAGUAAUUGAUAAUCCACGAUAAGAUUUACUUAAUAUAAAGUUUAUGUAUUGCUGUUUCCAAUAUUUAAUUAAUUUAGGUUUAUUUAAUUUAUUAUUUAUUAAAAAAUUCAAGUCAAAAUAUAGUUUUAUUAAGAUUUAAUAUGAGUUACAAUUAAUUAAAUUAAAAAGUGGAGUAAAAAAUUUAAUUUUUUUAUGAAAAUGGAUUUAAUAGUAAAAUUAAUAAAUUUAUUAAUUUGAAUAAAAAAUUUAAGUAUGUACAAAUUGCCCGUCACUUUCAAUAAAAUGGAAUAAGUCGUAACAAAGUUUAGGUAUCGGAAGAUGUUUAUUGUUUUAU
This 754-nucleotide non-coding RNA is filed under the name Dolichovespula kuami. The record is from RNAcentral. Lineage: Eukaryota; Metazoa; Arthropoda; Insecta; Hymenoptera; Vespidae.